GGGCCCGCACAAGCGGUGGAGUAUGUGGCUUAAUUCGAUGCAACGCGAAGAACCUUACCCAGGCUUGACAUCCUCGGAACCUGAUGGAAACAUCGGGGUGUCCCCUCACGGGGAAGCCGAGUGACAGGUGCUGCAUGGCUGUCGUCAGCUCGUGUCGUGAGAUGUUCGGUUAAGUCCGGCAACGAGCGCAACCCCUGUCGUUAGUUGCCAUCACGUUUGGGUGGGCACUCUAGGGAAACUGCCGGUGCUAAGCCGGAGGAAGGCGGGGAUGACGUCAAGUCCUCAUGGCCCUUACGGGUAGGGCUACACACGUGCUACAAUGGCAGUGACAAUGGGAUAAUCCCCAAAAGCUGUCUCAGUUCGGAUUGUCGGCUGCAACUCGCCGGCAUGAAGUUGGAAUC
Molecule: ribosomal RNA, 401 nt
Filed under: uncultured bacterium
Lineage: Bacteria
Description: bacterial SSU rRNA
Rfam family: Bacterial small subunit ribosomal RNA
Source: RNAcentral